CUUGUCGUAUACUCCCUCCGUCUCAAAAAAAAAAGAUAAAUCCUGUGUUUUUUUUCCAACAUUUGACUAUCCGUCUUAUAUGAAUUUUUUUUAUAAUUAGUAUUUUAAUUGUUGUUAGAUGAUAAAACAUGAUUAAUACUUUAUGCGUGACUUGUUUUUUCAAUUUUUUUCAUAAUUUUUUUAAAUAAGACGGACGGUCAAACGUUGGACACGGAACCUAGGAUUUGUUUUUUUUUGGACGGAGUGAGUAGAGAUUAAGA
This 260-nucleotide unclassified non-coding RNA is filed under the name Oryza sativa (Asian cultivated rice). RNAcentral describes it as "partial microRNA MIR438l-8 precursor". The stretch from base 30 to 219 matches the Rfam family "MIR812 microRNA precursor family". Lineage: Eukaryota; Viridiplantae; Streptophyta; Magnoliopsida; Poales; Poaceae. The record is from RNAcentral.